Molecule: ribosomal RNA, 85 nt
Filed under: Proteus mirabilis
Lineage: Bacteria; Pseudomonadati; Pseudomonadota; Gammaproteobacteria; Enterobacterales; Morganellaceae
Description: partial 23S ribosomal RNA
Source: RNAcentral
GGGUUGUGAGGUUAAGCGAAUAAGCGUACACGGUGGAUGCCUAGGCAAUCAGAGGCGAUGAAGGACGUGCUAAUCUGCGAAAAGC